UGCACUUAUGACACCUAUGGGGAGUUCACUAGCGCUCAACGCUAGAGUUCGCCAGGAGCCGUGGAGGGAGUUCACCUUGAAGCGCAGCACCCACAGGUCGUGGGUACUAUUCUGAUUCUCGAGGAAAAACUCUGCAAAAAGCUGGAAACAAAAGUUUAGUCAAGAAACUCCAAAAGUUCACUAUGUGAAGCGUUGAAGCCCACUCUGAAAAAAGAACGGAAAAGUGGAAGAGUUCGAGUAAACUCAGGAGUCAAAACAUUGCAAUUUUAUUCUACUAUUAUGGUUAGUAGCUGAUUUCAUCCGGGAAGUUCACCGUGCCCCCAUCGGGAGUCCACCGUGCUCAGAGCUCGCGUGUUGCCCCUGCGUACGCCAGAGUCCUGCCCCCUUGCUGGAAGUGCAGAUCAAUUAUUUGACAGGAGUAGUGUGGCGGUGCAUACUCGUCUAGAUCUUGGUGUUGUUGAGCUGAGAAUGCAGUAGGCGUUGCUGUAGCAGCGCGAGGCCUUUCCAGCGGUACGUGUU
This is a long non-coding RNA of Lolium perenne, 519 nucleotides long. RefSeq lists it as uncharacterized. Lineage: Eukaryota; Viridiplantae; Streptophyta; Magnoliopsida; Poales; Poaceae. The record is from RefSeq and is a predicted model, not a curated record.